This is a long non-coding RNA of Passer domesticus (house sparrow), 1796 nucleotides long. RefSeq lists it as uncharacterized. Lineage: Eukaryota; Metazoa; Chordata; Aves; Passeriformes; Passeridae. The transcript has 4 exons. The record is from RefSeq and is a predicted model, not a curated record.
AUGGGAUUUGGCGGGGGAGGUCUCAGGUGGGUCUGGGGUCAAUUUUGUGGGGAACUGGGGGGUCUGAGUGUCCUGGGGAGGCUUUGGGAGUCCUGGGCUAACCUUGGAGGGCUCUGGGUGGAAUAAAUAGGGCAGGAGAUCUUUCUCCUUUUUAAUGCCUUUAUUAAAAAGAAUCAGCUCAAGUGGGAAGAAACCGACGGGUGGCGCCCACGCCGCCGUUGCUCCCAGGAGUGCCAUGGAGGAGGAGGAGGAGGAGGAUGCAGCUGUGUCCGCUGGUGUUUUUUCCUGGAAAAUUGCAAAAUCUGGUGAAAUGCAUUCUUAUCUGCAUACCAGCUCUGAUGUCACACACUUCCCCUGAUACCUGCAGGGUCCGGUAUCACUUCCUGGCAAUCAGCCAGGCUGAUCACCAACCAUUAACAGGAUUUCCCAUUCCCAACCCUUGCUAGGCUGUGAAGAAGAGGAAGAUGUCCCUGGACAUGCAGGCAGGUGCUGAGGAUGGAGAGCAGGGAGGACAAAUCCCUGCGGCAGAACCUCAUGGAAGAGGCCAUUUUGAGCAGCUCCAGGGUACAGGAAAAGCCCCGGAGAUGCCGCACGAGGAGGAGGGGCUGCAAACGCAGAUCGUGGGGAUCUGAGGGGGAAAGACCCAGCCUGGGCUGGGAAGGUGGCUGGAGAUCGAGCCAGAGCUCGGAGCUGGUGGCCCAUGAGCAGGUUCAUGAUGCAGAGAAGCCUCACAAGUGCGUGGAGUGUGGGAAGAACUUCAGGAGGUGCUCCAACCUGAUCACCCACCAGAGGACCCACACUGGGGAACGGCCCUACGAGUGUGGGGAGUGUGGGAUGAGCUUCAGGCAGAACUCCAACCUGCUCAGGCACCCGGUGAUCCACACUUGGUAACGGCCCUACGAGUGUUAUCAGUGCAGGAAGAAGUUUCAGACCGGCUCUGAUCUCCUCCUGCACCAGUGCACAUACACAGAGGAGAGGCUUUUCCGCUGCCCCGACUGCGGGCAGGGCUUCAGGCAGAACGCCCAUCUUGUCAGGCACCGGCGCAUCCACACUGGGGAGAGGGCCCACGAGUGUGAGGAGUGUGGCAAGAGCUUCAGGCACAGCUCCACCCUGAUCCAGCACCAGAGGAUCCACACUGGGGAACGGCCCGACAAGUGUGUGAGGAGUGCGGGAAGAGCUUCAGCCGGCAUUCCACCCUCGUCAUCCACCAAAAGAUCCACUCUGGGGAGAGGCCCUACGAGUGUUCCAAGUGUGGGAAGGGGUUUCGGGUCAACUCAGAUCUCCUCCAGCACUGUCAGAGUCACACAGAGGAGAGGCCCUUCUGCUGCCCCAACUGAGGGAAGGGAUUCAGGCACAACUCCAACCUCGUCACACACCAACACAUCCACGCUGGGGAGAGGCCCUACGAAUGUCCCCAGUGUGGGAAGAUCUUCUCACAGAGCUCUCACUUGACCCAACACUAAUGGAGCCACUGGUAAGGGAAGCCCUGCGAUUGCCCCGAGUGCAGGAAGAGCUUUGUGUGCUGCUCCAGCUCCAUCCCCCACUGCAGGACCCACGUUGGGCACAGCCCUGGUGACCCACAUACCCUGUGAUCCAUGUUGGGAACACAUCUGCCUGCUUAUCCUUUUGGUUUGGCCGUAAUUUUCCUCUGAUUCCUCUUGAAAAACGCCAAUCACUUGUUCUAAAAUUUUAAUAGUAAUAAAAUAGUUAUUAAAAAAAUAAUAAUAAUUAGAGCUAUAAGAAUUUGGACAAUCAGAUUUAGGAUAAUAAAGGACAAUAAAAAGCAUAGAAUUACA